RNAcentral lists this ribosomal RNA (468 nucleotides) under uncultured bacterium. RNAcentral's name for it is "partial 16S ribosomal RNA". It matches the Rfam family "Bacterial small subunit ribosomal RNA", at positions 28 to 507 of the family's 1533-position model. The record is from RNAcentral.
GACGAACGCUGGCGGCGUGCUUAACACAUGCAAGUCGAACGGAAAGGCCCUGCUUUUGUGGGGUGCUCGAGUGGCGAACGGGUGAGUAACACGUGAGUAACCUGCCCUUGACUUUGGGAUAACUUCAGGAAACUGGGGCUAAUACCGGAUAGGAGCUCCUGCUGCAUGGUGGGGGUUGGAAAGUUUCGGCGGUUGGGGAUGGACUCGCGGCUUAUCAGCUUGUUGGUGGGGUAGUGGCUUACCAAGGCUUUGACGGGUAGCCGGCCUGAGAGGGUGACCGGCCACAUUGGGACUGAGAUACGGCCCAGACUCCUACGGGGGGCAGUAGUGGGGAAUAUUGCACAAUGGGCGGAAGCCUGAUGCAGCAACGCCGGGUGCGGGAUGACGGCCUUCGGGUUGUAAACCGCUUUCGCCUGUGACGAAGCGUGAGUGACGGUAAUGGGUAAAGAAGCACCGGCUAACUACGUG